Molecule: ribosomal RNA, 1533 nt
Filed under: Corynebacterium rouxii
Lineage: Bacteria; Bacillati; Actinomycetota; Actinomycetes; Mycobacteriales; Corynebacteriaceae
Description: bacterial SSU rRNA
Rfam family: Bacterial small subunit ribosomal RNA
Source: RNAcentral
UUUUUUAUGGAGAGUUUGAUCCUGGCUCAGGACGAACGCUGGCGGCGUGCUUAACACAUGCAAGUCGAACGGAAAGGCCUCAGCUUGCUGGGGUACUCGAGUGGCGAACGGGUGAGUAACACGUGGGUGAUCUGCCUCGUACUUCGGGAUAAGCCUGGGAAACUGGGUCUAAUACUGGAUAGGACCAUGCUUUAGUGUGUGUGGUGGAAAGUUUUUUCGGUACGAGAUGAGCCCGCGGCCUAUCAGCUUGUUGGUGGGGUAAUGGCCUACCAAGGCGUCGACGGGUAGCCGGCCUGAGAGGGUGGACGGCCACAUUGGGACUGAGAUACGGCCCAGACUCCUACGGGAGGCAGCAGUGGGGAAUAUUGCACAAUGGGCGCAAGCCUGAUGCAGCGACGCCGCGUGGGGGAUGACGGCCUUCGGGUUGUAAACCUCUUUCGCUAGGGACGAAGCUUUUUGUGACGGUACCUAGAUAAGAAGCACCGGCUAACUACGUGCCAGCAGCCGCGGUAAUACGUAGGGUGCGAGCGUUGUCCGGAAUUACUGGGCGUAAAGAGCUCGUAGGUGGUUUGUCGCGUCGUCUGUGAAAUUCCGGGGCUUAACUUCGGGCGUGCAGGCGAUACGGGCAUAACUUGAGUGCUGUAGGGGAGACUGGAAUUCCUGGUGUAGCGGUGGAAUGCGCAGAUAUCAGGAGGAACACCGAUGGCGAAGGCAGGUCUCUGGGCAGUAACUGACGCUGAGGAGCGAAAGCAUGGGGAGCGAACAGGAUUAGAUACCCUGGUAGUCCAUGCCGUAAACGGUGGGCGCUAGGUGUAGGGGUCUUCCACGACUUCUGUGCCGUAGCUAACGCAUUAAGCGCCCCGCCUGGGGAGUACGGCCGCAAGGCUAAAACUCAAAGGAAUUGACGGGGGCCCGCACAAGCGGCGGAGCAUGUGGAUUAAUUCGAUGCAACGCGAAGAACCUUACCUGGGCUUGACAUAUGCAGGAUCGGCGUAGAGAUACGUUUUCCCUUGUGGUCUGUAUACAGGUGGUGCAUGGUUGUCGUCAGCUCGUGUCGUGAGAUGUUGGGUUAAGUCCCGCAACGAGCGCAACCCUUGUCUUAUGUUGCCAGCACGUGAUGGUGGGGACUCAUGAGAGACUGCCGGGGUUAACUCGGAGGAAGGUGGGGAUGACGUCAAAUCAUCAUGCCCCUUAUGUCCAGGGCUUCACACAUGCUACAAUGGUCGGUACAACGCGCUGCGAGCCUGUGAGGGUGAGCGAAUCGCUGAAAGCCGGCCUCAGUUCGGAUUGGGGUCUGCAACUCGACCCCAUGAAGUCGGAGUCGCUAGUAAUCGCAGAUCAGCAACGCUGCGGUGAAUACGUUCCCGGGCCUUGUACACACCGCCCGUCACGUCAUGAAAGUUGGUAACACCCGAAGCCAGUGGCCUAACCUUUGUGGGAGGAGCUGUCGAAGGUGGGAUCGGCGAUUGGGACGAAGUCGUAACAAGGUAGCCGUACCGGAAGGUGCGGCUGGAUCACCUCCUUUCUAAGGAG